CUGUGGAUACAAAUUAUACAUUAAGCUGUACCACAUCAUCUAUAGAUAUAUCUCUAUUGUAGAUAGAUAUAGCAACCUUUAGAUGUGUCACUCCAUGUAUAUAAACCAGACAUAACAAGGCAUAUGCAUACUUGCGCACAAGUUCAACAAAUAUACCACCAAUAUUGAUCUUCCCCACUUUCCACUCAUACUCAUCAAGACAAUGCAGACUGAGUGCACUGCUCUUUGCAUUGUAUUGGUUAUUAUGUCUUCAACCCUCCCAUCCUGCUAUCUUCGUAAGUAUAUAACUUAUUUCGUACUCAAACUAAUUCCACUCAUGUGUGGUUUCUAAAGUCAAAUUGUGGAUGCAUGCAGUUCCGGUCACAUUUAAUUUCAAUUUACCUGGAUGCACUGAAGGGCUUUGCCAUGCAACAUGCCAAUAAGUAUAAUAACCAAGUGGUAAAGAUCUCCCAUUGUGAUAAGCCCAAUAUUUGCCACUGUGAGUUUUCUUCCAAGAAGCAUCCGUGGCUUACCACCGAAGCCAGGGGAUUAGCUGAUGCAGAAGACCAUAAUGGACCUUUUGUUUGAAUUUAAUAUACAAGAUUAACGAUGGAUAGGAUGGUUACAUGGAGGCAGACAAUACCAUAUUGCUAGCUCUAGCAUGUAAUUUAUCCAUGACCUGUUUCCUUUCAAGGUGUAAUAAAAUAAUUGUGCACCUUUCCUAUGCUUUUGUUCCACCCAAUGUAUUUGAUCCACCAUACAGAUUUCAUGCCAUGAUAUGAUGACGAUUUGAUCCCCAAUAGCAAUGGGACCAGGGCGAAAACUUUGGGCGUGGGCUUAGCCUCCCAUGCCUGACACCCUGGUUUUAGGAUGUCAGUCAUGAACAACAGCG
This 871-nucleotide long non-coding RNA is filed under the name Sorghum bicolor (sorghum). RNAcentral describes it as "long non-coding RNA (SBIC_LNC009521)". The record is from RNAcentral. Lineage: Eukaryota; Viridiplantae; Streptophyta; Magnoliopsida; Poales; Poaceae.